ACAGAGAAACAAGCCCUUUAAAAGGGUUAGUUUCACAAUCGAUGCUAGAUCUCAGUUCAUAGAUCCUUAUCUUUUACUCUGUAGCAACUAGAUAUUUCUUUAGGUUAAUCAGUCUUAAAUCAAAUACCUAAGGUAAUUUAACUUUAAAUGCCAAAGUUUAAAUUUUCUUAAAUGUUAAAUUGGAAUUAUUCUGCACAUUUAACCCAAAAGAAAAACAAAAGGCAUAAAAUGAGAUAUUUUCUUGGUCAACAAGUAUUUGCCCGGGCUCUGUGCUUGGUGGUAAGAAUGCAGAGAUCAACAAGACAGAUCUCCUGGCCGGAGAGUACUUAUACACAAAGAGUAAUUAGCACGAAGAGCACUGGACUUAAGGUUAGAUUUAGCAGCCGUGUUUUCUCAGGCAAAUUAGGAAUCAGUUUAGGAUGAUGAUUAAGAAGUGGGGUCUGAGGCCGGGCAUGGUGGCUCAGGCCUAUAAUCUCAGCACUUUGGGAGGCCAAAGGCAAGGAGGACCACUUGAGCCUUGAGCCCAGGAAGUCAAGGCUGCAGUGAGCCAUGAGCAUGCCAUUGCACUCCAGCCUGGCAGCAGAGCAAGACCCUGUCACUAAAAAAAAAAAAAAAAAAAAAUUGGGCUCUGGGGCCAGAUGUUUUGUAUUUGAAACCUGACUUUUUCAUGCCCUUGGCAAAGUUGUGGGGACUUUGUGGAAGGGACUUACUGGCCUGUGCCUCAGAUUUUUUAUCCAUAAUGUAACAUGCAUUUGCUGUAUUAUUUAAGAAUUUUCAAUUCUGCCCUAAAGAAUAGGAAAAACAAAUGGGAUAGAUGAAACUUAUCUGUAAGUAUAUGUUACAUCAGUUCAUAUGUUAAGUACAGAUAAUAAGUAAAUCAUUAACCCAUGAAACAUGUUAAACAUAGAAUAGAUAUUUACUUCUUAGACAUACGUUAAAAGGACAAAACAAACAAGAGUGUUACUUGUAAACAGAGAUGGAAAGCAAAAUAAACCUUAAAUAUUCAUAAAGCAUGGAUCAGUCUUGUUGCCUCAAAUUGACCACCCAUUGGUAUCAUCCAUUCUAACCCACUUGUUUUGUGCUUAAAAUGUAUACUGCUGCUCAUCAGGUCAUUGCUGAGCUAUAGGUGUAGCUCAUACUUACCUCUAUCUUUUUAUUAUUUUUAUUGUUUGGGGACAGGAUCUUGCUCUGUCGUCCAGGCUGGAGUGCAGUGGCACAAUCAUGACUCAUUGCCUGCUCACUGCAGCCUCAACCUUCAGGUCUCAGGUGAUCCUCCCACCUCAUCCUCCCGGGUAGUUGGGACUACAAGCACGCACCAUCAUGCCCAGCUAAUUUUUUUUUAAAUUUUUUGUAGAGACGUGGUCUCGCCAUGUUGCCCAGGCUGUUCUUGAACUCCUGGACUCAAGUACUCUGCGUGCUUCAAUCUUCCAAAGUGUUGGAAUUACAGGUGUGAGCCACAGCACUCAGCAACCUCAGUCUUUUUGAUAGAGCAAACAUAGACUGGCACCAUGAACUUUCCAUCUCUGAACAUUCUUACCUACACUCUGGUUCUUGUAACCAUGCCAUCUUUGGAGAAGGCAGAUGAGGCAGAGAGAGAGGCAGAACAUGUGAACAUUGAGUGACCCACAGUAGUGUGGUCCUUUCACCUGCAUGAUCUAAAUGUGUUCACCUACUGAAUCUCUUUCCCCUUGCUUCCCACUUUUUUCUAAAACAAUUCAGUCUCCAUAGUGACUGUCAAAAAUUGCCAGUGCUGACUAUCUUGCAAGUUGUCAUGGCAGGGUAUUGGAAAAAGUUUUCAAUUAGCAAUAACCUAGGAUAAACCUCAUUGGCUACCAUAUUUCCACUGUACAAAGCUAAGACUGUGUGUUUUAAAUUGGUUUAACAAACUAAUUUAUUUGACCAUCUUAAUCUGGCCUUUGAGCCAGAUUAUAAUGAUAGUGAUAAUGAUAGUGAAUAUUUUAUGGGAUGACUGUGGAGAUCACAUCAAUUUACUUCAAGUAAGGCACAAUUACAUUGUCUUUCAAAGAACAUAGAAACACGUUGGCGGGGAAUCAGUAAUGUAUGCAGCCAGGUAGCUCCUCUAAUUUCAGUCAGACUGAAAUAGGAAUUAAAAGAAAUUAAAGAAUGUGUAAGCAAAAACUCAGUUGUAUGUAAGAAAACUCAAUUCCCCCUGAAGAAGAGAAAGAGCUGGAGUCCUUUAAAAUUAACUGCCUGUUUUUCUGUGGCUAGUGGACCUUAUCUCUCCCUUUCCCAGGCAUUGUGAAGACUCUGUUUCUCUAGCUGUGCAGCUGCAAGGUCACUAGACAGAUAAUGUCAAGUCGUAAAACAUGUUGUUCCUUGAAAAGUAAGAAAUAAUGUAAUGCAUGUCUUAAUUGAAUAACUGUCUUUGUUUCUCGCUUCUGUAACAUGCUUCCCCCUGCAUAGAUCUCCCCCUGCCCCAAAAAAUGCUUAAAAGGUAGCUUGACUCUCUGUUCGAGGCUCAGUCCUUUUGAUGUUAAUCCGACUGGGUCGGUGCACCUAAAUAAUUAAAUAAUUCCUCCUUAA
RNAcentral lists this long non-coding RNA (2544 nucleotides) under Homo sapiens (human). RNAcentral describes it as "novel transcript". Lineage: Eukaryota; Metazoa; Chordata; Mammalia; Primates; Hominidae. The record is from RNAcentral.